RNAcentral lists this ribosomal RNA (465 nucleotides) under uncultured bacterium. RNAcentral describes it as "partial 16S ribosomal RNA". It matches the Rfam family "Bacterial small subunit ribosomal RNA", at positions 28 to 507 of the family's 1533-position model. The record is from RNAcentral.
GACGAACGCUGGCGGCGUGCUUAACACAUGCAAGUCGAACGGAAAGGCCCCUUUGGGGGUACUCUAGUGGUGAACGGGUGAGUAACACGUGAGUAACCUGCCCUUGCCUUCGGGACAACUUCAGGAAACUGGGGCUAAUACCGGAUAGGAAUCCUUGCUGCAUGGUGGGGGUUGGAAAGCUUCGGCGGUCUUGGAUGGACUCGCGGCUUAUCGGCUUGUUGGUGGGGUAGUGGCUUACCAAGGCUUUGACGCGAAGCCGCACUGAGAGGGCGACCGGCCGCACUGAGACUGAGGGGCGGCCCAAGUGCGGAAGGGAGGCAAAAGUGGGGAAUAUUGCACCAUCGGCGGAGGCCGGGUGAAGAAGCGCCGCGUGCGGGAUAACGGCCUUCAGGGUGAAGAACACUUUCAGCAGGAGCGAAGCUUGUGGUGACGGUACCUGAAGAAGAAGCACCGGCUAACUACGUG